Molecule: long non-coding RNA, 3276 nt
Organism: Dendroctonus ponderosae (mountain pine beetle)
Lineage: Eukaryota; Metazoa; Arthropoda; Insecta; Coleoptera; Curculionidae
Exons: 5
Source: RefSeq, a predicted model, not a curated record
AUACAUGAUUUUUUCGUGACUUAGAAUUCAGCUCAAGCUGUGAAAGUAGAUUUUGAUCUUGUUGGUAGUCAGUAAGAAUCACUAAAAUGUAAUUCUCUCGAUCAAGUCAAUCAACGAUUGAUUGAAUAAAUCAAUCAACCGCUUAAUUUUGUUGGAUCUGACAUCCGUAUUUCGAUCGUUCUUAGAGCAAGGAAGCCUUCGUGAAUGUCUGUUGUAGGUUAAUUCAGUUUUUUUUUGACUCUCAUCUUUAUGAUAUAAGUAAACGAGUACUUAUUAAUACUAAUAAUAAUAACUACAUAGUACUUAAUAAUAAACUCUCAUCUUUAUUAUUAAGUACUAUGUUCGGCUUCAAAACCUAAACUCUAAAAGAAAACUAUGAGCAGAGAAUAUACGUCUUGGAAAUGGAGGAGGUUUAUUAGCGACUAGUACGAAUACAAUGGGCGACUCUCUAAAAAAUCGCCUCCAUUAUCAAAGAUCUGAAAACGGACGCACGUCUGGCCACAAAAUCACAAAUUUUGGACAAACUGCCAAGGGCAACCCCUCAUUGGAAAGACUGGGGUCAGAGCGAAAAUCAGAAGUAGACCACAAUCUAACGCAAGUAUCAAAUAGAGCAUGAGUCGAGCAGCCUGUAUAGUUAUCCAGUUAGAGGCUGUUCAAAAUAGUGGUGUUAAGGAGUGCCAAAAUCAGUUGGCUGGACAGACAUGGAACUGCUCCUCUUUAAGUACUAGAGGAAGGAACCCAUAUAUCACCACAAUAAUGCAUCUAGUUGGCAGAUAAUGGAUAAUCUAGCGCACUUGCCUUAUUGGCACCAAAUCAUCCUGUAUAUGUCGCCAAUCAGCAAAGGACUGGAAACACAUUUUCUUCAUUCCCGUACCAAACCAAAAUUCAAGCGAUAUUGAGGCUUUUACCACUUUCCGAAGGCAGCAAACUACAGAAAUAACGUGAUAAUAUAAUUGUUUGAUUGAUCGUACAUUUGUAAGAAUCAGUUUGCAGUUGGAUUUCCGGUUUUUUAUUGUUGACUGUUGAAAGUGCCUGUUCGCACGUAAAUAUUUUCAAAGGCAAGUUUCUGGUUCAAACUAGUUUUGGUCGCCGUGAACAAAACAGAUUUUUCAGCCAAAUAUGAGCACUUCCAAUCAUGGAGCGGAAUAGUCUCUUUCCUAAUACAUUAAAUGCUCUCGGACUUUUGUUCGAUUUUGAUGAAACUUUGUCUUUUUAUAAAACAGCUGGAUUUGUCGUGGAAUAGUGACCUAAAGAGAAGAUCCACAUUCAAUCUGCAUUCUUCAUAAGAGCGCUGGAAUCAAUCGCUUUAUUUUUGCAAAGUUCUGAGAUCAGCUUUUUCCAGAAUUUUUUUAGAGUUUCAAUGGCAGAAAAUCAGCAAUACUCUGAAAAAUCGGUUUUUGGCCAUUUUCACGAUUCAUUUGAGGUGAUAUGAUAAAGUGUUGUAUACAAAAUUUUUUGACUUUUUUAUUAUCUACAACUGCAAAAAUAUGUUUUCAACCCAUAAGCUACAUUCCCAUUUCACAAUUACCAGUGUUCGCCUGUUUAAAUUUUGUCAUUUCAUACAGUUGGAACUUCAUCAACAUUUUCCACCUGGGUCUUGUUAUUAAUUGUAAAUCUCUGAAAUAUUUUUUCUUCUCUGGUGUCGCUUGGUGCCGUUGCUGCAUGCAAGAAUAUUUAAAAAAUUAAUAUUCGAUUACCAUCCGAUCGGUCACAGAAGGCUCCGAAGUUACUCCGGUCUAAAAAUCAAUCAUCCGAUGAACCGAUAUAGGAAAUUGUAAAAAUUCUCACAUCUGUAAUAGUUGUUAAAUUUCUUGACAUCAAAACCCAGAAUUAUUAUUUGUGAUGUCUUCGCUUUUCGCUCUCAUCACUUCCCUUAUAAGAAACUCUCAAUAAACCAUUUACAGAAGACAUGCACUAUUCAACAUGCGGAAAUUCACAUAUUUAUAAAACUCAACAGAAAGUAUCGAAAUUUUUAAAGAAUUAAAGUUGGAAAUGCAUUCCGGCAAUCAAAUUCGCCGUUCUUCGGCUGCGAGAGCUGCGAAUCUGGCAGCAACUUCCCAGUUGUUGUUGGUCGUCAAUCCUUUGAAUGGCAUAAAUUGCGGAUUGGUUGAGCGAAUAUUCUUAUAUCAUGAUACAUCUUAAACAGCGAAAAAAUCAUCAUUCACAUCAACACAUCGAUUUCCUUAUUGAAGUUAAAAUAUAGUUUUUAUUUUUCAUUAGAUUCUCGUAAUUCAGGCAAUCUAUUUGCAUUGCUAAGUUUAAGCAAAUUGUUAACCCUUGCGGGUAAAGUAAUAUUUUAUGAACUAUUUUUAAUUGAUGUAAAACAACUUGCGAUAGAAAAUAAUAAACGCCAUUGUUCAGUUUUAAGCUGCACGAUUUCAAAGCGAUUUGACCACUUGGUUUUAAAACUCAAGAAUGCACUUUGCUUUUUCUUUUAACUAAGCAGGAAAAAUCAAGUGGAGUUCAUAAAAUUCACGGUUCAAAUUAAAUGUUGCAGGCCUCUUCAGAAAAUGUAUACAAAAUAGUCUUAAUCUGGGCUUAAUGAUCCCUAAAUCUGUCAUACUAUCUACCGUGGCGCAUAAUGAGCAAUUCGCAGUCAAUCACCACGUACUCGGUGCCGUGCUGCGCGUUUUUUUACCCAAAGAGUGGUUGCUUUUCCUGCAUCUAAAUUGCGUAUAUCAAUCCGCCGCUGUUAAUCGGAACGAUAUCGUUUCUGAGUUGUCGUUGGCAGCGACCACCAGCACAGAUUGUGAAAUCACGCCCAUGAUUGGAAACACUCGACAUGCUCGUGAAUGUUGCUUUUUCAAUGGUCACUAAUACGAUUAACAGUCAACGUUUCAUUAGCCUUAAUCUUAAUAAAAUAUAUUAAUAAAUUUAAUAAAUUGGACUUAAGAGGCAUUUGCGAACCACAGUCUUAUAGCGGUGAGUUUGCUAACAUUGCAAUUAGGAUCCUUUCCGGAUCCAUACUAAAACAGAGGCGAUUUCUAAUUCUGCAAUGUCUCGGUUGUACAUGUUUUUUUUAUAUUAUGGUUUAUUGAAUCUUACCGUCCAACUCCUUGUAGGAAUAAGGUUUUCCCUAAAAAAGCACAAGAUUCAUAAGCAACAUUUAUCUAGGACUUUGAUACAAACAAACUCGUUAAACUAAAUUUAUUAUUUGUAAAUCGAAAACAACGCAAAAACCUAGAAAUACCUAUUCGUUUCUUCAUGAGAUUAAGUUCCAAUCAAGGCCAAAAUAAAAAUAGUUGCAGCAAUGAAUUUUUGGUUUGUUAUAUUUAA